GAACGCUGGCGGCGUGCUUAACACAUGCAAGUCGAACGGUAAGGCCCCUUCGGGGGUACACGAGUGGCGAACGGGUGAGUAACACGUGGGUGAUCUGCCCUGCACUCUGGGAUAAGCCUGGGAAACUGGGUCUAAUACCGGAUAUGAGCUCCUGUCGCAUGGCGGGGGUUGGAAAGGUUUACUGGUGCAGGAUGGGCCCGCGGCCUAUCAGCUUGUUGGUGGGGUAAUGGCCUACCAAGGCGACGACGGGUAGCCGGCCUGAGAGGGCGACCGGCCACACUGGGACUGAGACACGGCCCAGACUCCUACGGGAGGCAGCAGUGGGGAAUAUUGCACAAUGGGCGAAAGCCUGAUGCAGCGACGCCGCGUGAGGGAUGACGGCCUUCGGGUUGUAAACCUCUUUCAGCAGGGACGAAGCGAGAGUGACGGUACCUGCAGAAGAAGCACCGGCCAACUACGUGCCAGCAGCCGCGGUAAUACGUAGGGUGCGAGCGUUGUCCGGAAUUACUGGGCGUAAAGAGCUCGUAGGCGGUUUGUCGCGUCGUCCGUGAAAACUUGGGGCUCAACCCCAAGCUUGCGGGCGAUACGGGCAGACUUGAGUACUGCAGGGGAGACUGGAAUUCCUGGUGUAGCGGUGAAAUGCGCAGAUAUCAGGAGGAACACCGGUGGCGAAGGCGGGUCUCUGGGCAGUAACUGACGCUGAGGAGCGAAAGCGUGGGUAGCGAACAGGAUUAGAUACCCUGGUAGUCCACGCCGUAAA
RNAcentral lists this ribosomal RNA (760 nucleotides) under Rhodococcus (subgen. Prescottella) equi. RNAcentral describes it as "Prescottella equi bacterial SSU rRNA". It matches the Rfam family "Bacterial small subunit ribosomal RNA", at positions 31 to 806 of the family's 1533-position model. The record is from RNAcentral. Lineage: Bacteria; Bacillati; Actinomycetota; Actinomycetes; Mycobacteriales; Nocardiaceae.